CGUUGGUAUCUUAGUGGCGGACGGGUGAGUAACGCGUGGGUAACCUGCCUUACACUGGGGGAUAACACUUAGAAAUAGGUGCUAAUACCGCAUAACAGAGGGAGUCGCAUGACUUCGUCUUAAAAACUCCGGUGGUGUAAGAUGGACCCGCGUCUGAUUAGCUGGUUGGCGGGGUAGCGGCCCACCAAGGCGACGAUCAGUAGCCGGCCUGAGAGGGUGAACGGCCACAUUGGGACUGAGACACGGCCCAAACUCCUACGGGAGGCAGCAG
This 271-nucleotide ribosomal RNA is filed under the name uncultured bacterium. Its description in RNAcentral is "partial 16S ribosomal RNA". It matches the Rfam family "Bacterial small subunit ribosomal RNA", at positions 82 to 354 of the family's 1533-position model. The record is from RNAcentral.